CUGGGCGUAAGGUGCGUAGCGGUUUGCAGACGAUGUGAAAUCCCCGGGCUCACCUGGGAAUUGCAUUGGAGACUGCACGGCUAGAGUGCGGCAGAGGGGGGUGGAAUUCCACGUGUAGCGGUGAAAUGCGUAGAGAUGUGGAGGAAUACCGAUGGCGAAGGCAGCCCCCUGGACCAACACUGACGCUCAUGCACGAAAGCGUGGGGAGCAAACAGGAUUAGAUACCCUGGUAGUCCACGCCCUAAACGAUGUCAAGUAAGGUGUUGGGGAUUACUUUCCUUAGUGACGAAGCUAACCCGUGAAGUUUACCGCCUGGGGAGUACGGCCGCAAAAUUAAAACUCAAAGGAAUUGACGG
Molecule: ribosomal RNA, 356 nt
Filed under: bacterium enrichment culture isolate 'GS-2 DGGE band-i'
Lineage: Bacteria
Description: bacterial SSU rRNA
Rfam family: Bacterial small subunit ribosomal RNA
Source: RNAcentral